ACUGCCUGAUGGAGGGGGAUAACUACUGGAAACGGUGGCUAAUACCGCAUAACGUCGCAAGACCAAAGAGGGGGACCUUCGGGCCUCUUGCCAUCAGAUGUGCCCAGAUGGGAUUAGCUAGUUGGUGAGGUAACGGCUCACCAAGGCGACGAUCCCUAGCUGGUCUGAGAGGAUGACCAGCCACACUGGAACUGAGACACGGUCCAGACUCCUACGGGAGGCAGCAGUGGGGAAUAUUGCACAAUGGGCGCAAGCCUGAUGCAGCCAUGCCGCGUGUAUGAAGAAGGCCUUC
RNAcentral lists this ribosomal RNA (292 nucleotides) under Salmonella enterica subsp. enterica serovar Typhimurium. Its description in RNAcentral is "partial 16S ribosomal RNA". It matches the Rfam family "Bacterial small subunit ribosomal RNA", at positions 125 to 419 of the family's 1533-position model. Lineage: Bacteria; Pseudomonadati; Pseudomonadota; Gammaproteobacteria; Enterobacterales; Enterobacteriaceae. The record is from RNAcentral.